AACAGCAAACCUCUCUUCCCAGCCUUCUGCUUUCCAUCUAUCAGGUAGCGACGACAAUUCUGUGCGUGCAGGACCAUAUUCCUGAUACCUGGGUGUACCAUAUCAUGGGUAGUUAGUUAUUGUCAUUGCCAUUGUCAAGUACUUGGGAUAACCCUUCUGGAUAUAUGUGGUUCGCACACUGGCUUAGAGAGAUUUCGGGCCAUCCAACAAUUCUGCUCCAGUUGCGAGUUGGAUUGUUGAUGGGAAUCCUUUGCGACAACGCAGUUCACUAAACAGGGCGGCUAAAGACACCUCAAAAUCGAACAUGAUAGAACAUAGUCAUAGAUGAGAUUGGAUUUCCCAAUUCACGUUGGCAGCCUGUUCCGAGAAUCCAAUUUAAAUAGGCAAAUCAUGCAUAACGCGCUUCACCACA
RNAcentral lists this small RNA (412 nucleotides) under Histoplasma ohiense. RNAcentral's name for it is "hypothetical lncRNA". Lineage: Eukaryota; Fungi; Ascomycota; Eurotiomycetes; Onygenales; Ajellomycetaceae. The record is from RNAcentral.